Molecule: long non-coding RNA, 2255 nt
Organism: Coregonus clupeaformis (lake whitefish)
Lineage: Eukaryota; Metazoa; Chordata; Actinopteri; Salmoniformes; Salmonidae
Exons: 2
Source: RefSeq, a predicted model, not a curated record
AAGAAUUUGUUCUUAACUGACUUGCCUAUUUAAAUAAAGGUUAAAUAAAAAUAAAUAAAUAAAAUAUAUUUGUAACGCAGACAAUACUGUAUGUUCAGGCUAUUGACACGCACCUAGAGGGGGAUUGGUAUAUAUAGAUAACAAACCCACUCAUAAUUGAGGAGGUUCAUCCACAGGAGGGUAGAACAGGACGCUACUGGAGGAAAGAGAAGAGAGGGGGAUUUUACACAGGAAGAAAGAGGACGAAGAGAGGAGAGGAAUUCAGUUUACAAGGUUUCUCAUAACACAACUGAAAAAGGGAAGUAGUUAUUUACUCCACUUCAAAUAUAAACCAUUUUCUCUCAGCUGCAUGAUCACAUGGGUUAUGACCCAAAUGACACGCUAUUCCCUAUAUAGUGCACUAAUAGGGCUCUGGUCAAAAGUAGUGUACUAUAUAGGGAAUAGGGUGCCAUUUGGGAAGCACACAUACUGUAUAGACAACUGAAACAUAUGUGAAGUUAGGUACGUCACAGGUACUUUUGACAGGGUACAUACAGGGCUCUGGUCAAAAGUAGUGCACUAUAUACGGAAUAAGGUGCCAUUUGGGAUGCAGGCCACAGUUUUUGUAUUUCAACAGUAUCACUGUAUUGGGUUGUUAGUGAGCUGUGUUGUCAUGGUUCCUAGCUCAGGUGUUUUGAGUGGCCUACAUUUUAUGUGGUGUUUUCUGUAAGGAAUUUAUUCAAUCAAAAAAAAUGUUUUAAUGUAUAUAGAAAAAUAUAGAAAAAUAUUGAUUGUAAUUGUUGUUUUUUAUGACUGAAGUGAGUUUUGAAGUUGUUUUCUGAGUAUAAAGCUGGUUUUGUGCCUCUUGAUGUGGGUGUUCUGUUAUCGAAGACCAAACUAUAUCACCAUGGAAACUUAGUUCAGAAAAGUUAACUCCUAAUAAAGUCACUCCUACACUGUAGUAAAGCCGGAAAUAUAUAUAAUUCACAAAAAAACAUUCACUUAUUUUAUAAGACUUGAUCUUUAUUUGGAUCCCCAUGAGCUGACGCCAUGACGACAGAUAAAUGUGUAUACAAGCAUAUAGUCAACACACACACAAAUACAUUUAAAGGUACACUGUGAGUGUUAAAUGCCCUAUUGUUUUACUUACAUUUUGGUUUGAGAGGUGACUGGUUCAUAUACACAUAUGAUAUAAUAUUAAUCAAUUUCUUAUCUCAUUAAACCACACAACCCUUAGUUUUAGGCUAAUAAUAUAAUAUUUAAGUCAUGGGUGUGAGGAGGUGUGCCCCUUUGUCUGUGCUCCAAUUAGGUCAUUUCUGGAUUAUUUAAGGCAGCGUUUCCACAUUUUCACAUUUUAGUUUUAACCUUAAACUUGCACACCUGGUUCAAUUAGUCAAAGGCUUGAUGAUUAGUUGACUAAUUGCUGAUUUAAAGGACCUCUUUUGGCUCAAGGGCAGCCCCCCAGAGGCAAAAGUGAUGUAUGGUAGAAUAGAUGUUUAGUACACAGUACAGAUGUACAGUAUAAUACAAGUAUACUGUAUGUAGUAGAUGCAUAGUAGAUAUAUGUGUAUGAAGACAUAUACAUGUGUAUAGUACAGCUCCAUUUUGUUGUAUUCCCAAACUCACAAUGUAUCCCUUUUUCUGCACACCAGUCAGUGAAGCAGGGAAGUCAAGCAGGUAAGUGAAGCAGGUAAGUUCCCACUUCAUUUGUUUCACGGUGUUCUGUUCGUUUUCUCUGAAAUUCAUCUAAACGCUUAUGUUCUACAUCGGCCUAACUAUUGUUGAUGUAGCCAUUUUAUCAAGGGGGAAAAGGCGCAAUGAUAUCAAGGUGAAAAGGCGCAAUGUCAUAGUCAUGGUAUAUGGUCUCACAUACACACGGCUGGAUGCCAAUCAGCAUCCAGUAUCCAAACUACCCAGUUUAUGGUACAAUAUAUAGGUAAUGUAUACAGAUGUAUAGUACCCAAGAAGAACACAGGACCCAGGUUUGAGGUGAGCAUGAGUUUAUUGGUCAGUGAUGAUCUUCCUCCUCCUCCUCCUCCUCUCUCACCACUAUUGUCUAUUGCUGUUAUUGGUGCUGGUGAACCAAAGUCCCUGAUGUAUAUCUGUGAUAUAUACUAUAAUCUGAUAGAGUGUUAUGACCGUUGUUACACUAUAACGGUCCUCUAUAACAUGAUGUGUUACGGUGAUGACUUAACUCAUCUCACGCUGCUGUUGACGUCACGGCACUGAUAUACGAGUCGCCUCUCGUAGUAAUAACACCCUGUUGUAUUACCAAC